RNAcentral lists this ribosomal RNA (1346 nucleotides) under uncultured bacterium. RNAcentral's name for it is "bacterial SSU rRNA". It matches the Rfam family "Bacterial small subunit ribosomal RNA", at positions 28 to 1381 of the family's 1533-position model. The record is from RNAcentral.
GACGAGCGCUGGCGGCGUGCUUAACACAUGCAAGUCGAACGGAAAGGCCCUGCUUUUGUGGGGUGCUCGAGUGGCGAACGGGUGAGUAACACGUGAGUAACCUGCCCUUGACUUUGGGAUAACUUCAGGAAACUGGGGCUAAUACCGGAUAGGAGCUCCUGCUGCAUGGUGGGGGUUGGAAAGUUUCGGCGGUUGGGGAUGGACUCGCGGCUUAUCAGCUUGUUGGGGGGGUAGUGGCUUACCAAGGCUUUGACGGGUAGCCGGCCUGAGAGGGUGACCGGCCACAUUGGGACUGAGAUACGGCCCAGACUCCUACGGGAGGCAGCAGUGGGGAAUAUUGCACAAUGGGCGGAAGCCUGAUGCAGCAACGCCGCGUGCGGGAUGACGGCCUUCGGGUUGUAAACCGCUUUCGCCUGUGACGAAGCGUGAGUGACGGUAAUGGGUAAAGAAGCACCGGCUAACUACGUGCCAGCAGCCGCGGUGAUACGUAGGGUGCGAGCGUUGUCCGGAUUUAUUGGGCGUAAAGGGCUCGUAGGUGGUUGAUCGCGUCGGAAGUGUAAUCUUGGGGCUUAACCCUGAGCGUGCUUUCGAUACGGGUUGACUUGAGGAAGGUAGGGGAGAAUGGAAUUCCUGGUGGAGCGGUGGAAUGCGCAGAUAUCAGGAGGAACACCAGUGGCGAAGGCGGUUCUCUGGGCCUUUCCUGACGCUGAGGAGCGAAAGCGUGGGGAGCGAACAGGCUUAGAUACCCUGGUAGUCCACGCUGUAAACGGUGGGUACUAGGUGUGGGGUCCAUUCCACGGGUUCCGUGCCGUAGCUAACGUUUUAAGUACCCCGCCUGGGGAGUACGGCCGCAAGGCUAAAACUCAAAGGAAUUGACGGGGCCCCGCACAAGCGGCGGAGCAUGCGGAUUAAUUCGAUGCAACGCGUAGAACCUUACCUGGGUUUGACAUGGAUCGGGAGUGCUCAGAGAUGGGUGUGCCUCUUUUGGGGUCGGUUCACAGGUGGUGCAUGGCUGUCGUCAGCUCGUGUCGUGAGAUGUUGGGUUAAGUCCCGCAACGAGCGCAACCCUUGUUCACUGUUGCCAGCACGUUAUGGUGGGGACUCAGUGGAGACCGCCGGGGUCAACUCGGAGGAAGGUGGGGAUGACGUCAAGUCAUCAUGCCCCUUAUGUCCAGGGCUUCACGCAUGCUACAAUGGCUGGUACAGAGAGUGGCGAGCCUGUGAGGGUGAGCGAAUCUCGGAAAGCCGGUCUCAGUUCGGAUUGGGGUCUGCAACUCGACCUCAUGAAGUCGGAGUCGCUAGUAAUCGCAGAUCAGCAACGCUGAGGUGAAUACGUUCCCGGGGCU